RNAcentral lists this ribosomal RNA (264 nucleotides) under uncultured archaeon. RNAcentral's name for it is "partial 16S ribosomal RNA". It matches the Rfam family "Archaeal small subunit ribosomal RNA", at positions 717 to 982 of the family's 1478-position model. The record is from RNAcentral.
AGACGUCUACAUUAGAUACCCGGGUAGUCCCAGCCGUAAACUAUGCGCGUUAGGUGUAUCGGUGACCACGAGUUACCGAGGUGCCGAAGGGAAACCGUGAAACGUGCCGCCUGGGAAGUACGGUCGCAAGGCUGAAACUUAAAGGAGUUGGCGGGGAGCACCACAACAGGUGGAGCCUGCGGUUUAAUUGGACUCAACGCCGGGAAGCUCACCGGAUAGGACAGCAGAAUGAUUGCCGGGCUGAAGACCCUGCAUGACUAGCCG